Molecule: ribosomal RNA, 253 nt
Filed under: uncultured bacterium
Lineage: Bacteria
Description: partial 16S ribosomal RNA
Rfam family: Bacterial small subunit ribosomal RNA
Source: RNAcentral
UACGAAGGGGGCUAGCGUUGCUCGGAAUCACUGGGCGUAAAGCGCACGUAGGCGGCUUUUUAAGUCAGGGGUGAAAUCCUGGAGCUCAACUCCAGAACUGCCUUUGAUACUGAGAAGCUUGAGUUCGGGAGAGGUGAGUGGAACUGCGAGUGUAGAGGUGAAAUUCGUAGAUAUUCGCAAGAACACCAGUGGCGAAGGCGGCUCACUGGCCCAUUACUGACGCUGAGGCACGAAAGCGUGGGGAGCAAACAGG